This 305-nucleotide ribosomal RNA is filed under the name uncultured bacterium. RNAcentral's name for it is "partial 16S ribosomal RNA". It matches the Rfam family "Bacterial small subunit ribosomal RNA", at positions 508 to 807 of the family's 1533-position model. The record is from RNAcentral.
ACAGCAGUAGCCGCGGGAAUCCGAAGGGUGCAAGCGUUACUCGGAAUUACUGGGCGUAAAGCGUGCGUAGGUGGUGGUUUAAGUCCGUUGUGAAAGCCCUGGGCUCAACCUGGGAAUUGCAGUGGAUACUGGGUCACUAGAGUGUGGUAGAGGAUAGUGGAAUUUCCGGUGUAGCAGUGAAAUGCGUAGAGAUCGGAAGGAACAUCUGUGGCGAAGGCGACUAUCUGGGCCAACACUGACACUGAGGCACGAAAGCGUGGGGAGCAAACAGGAUUAGAUACCCCCGUAGUCCCUGUCUCUUAUAC